AAUCAAAUCACUUGAAAAAAGCGGAGAGAUGAUAAUUGCCCAUUUUCGAAAAGCAAUAGAACGCACCAGUUGGCGGAUAACGUCACGGGAAUUCAGUUAUUCAAACCGUACAAAGAUGGCUGAAGCCAAAAGUAAGGUAUCUGUCUGUGGAGCAAGCAAAUUGAAAGAUACAUCACGAAAAGGUGAACUGGAACCACUAUUGAAAACAGGAUGGUCAUUGCUAGAGGAUCGAGAUGCCAUAUACAAACAGUUCAGAUUUAAGAACUUUAACCAGGCAUUCGGUUUUAUGACAAGAAUUGCCUUGCAGUCAGAAAAAAUGGAUCACCAUCCAGAGUGGUUCAAUGUUUACAACAAAGUUGAUGUCACACUCACUACACAUGUUUGUCAGGGCCUUUCUGACAAGGACAUUGCAUUAGCUAAAUUUAUUGGUGUAGUAGAAAGAUCUAUGAAAUAGACCUAACAGCUGUUAAUCAACAAUUACUUUGCAUAAAUUUCAAAAAAUGUGUUGGUAUGUAAAUCAAAAUGAGUUUCCUUGUUUUGGAAGUAUACCGAAGGCUGCUGCUUUGCGAUUUUUGGUAAGCAUUCUGUCAUCAAGAAUAUGUAAUCUUUGUCUAAGCCAUUCAAUGAGUAAAUUCCCCAUCCCUUGCAAAAAAUCAACUACCAAGGUUUACCAAAAUCACCAGCUAUAUUUUUUAGCACACCAUACAAAGAUAUUAUGCAUAUGCAAUAUGAUGAAAUAUAGCCACUGUAAUGGGGCCCAGUACAGAAAAUAAAACCCCAUUUAGUUUUUUUAGACUUUUGUUUAUCUAACAACUAAUUCUAUUAGAAUUCAUCAAAAUGAAUUAAAUAACUUUUAUAAAAGCUCUAAAUGUGUAUGAUUUUUCCAAAAAUGUGUUUCUCUUUAAGGGUUUACAAGUUUUUGAAGAGAAAGACAGAUCAUUAUGAGACUAAGCGCUUAAAUUUUAUACACAGUACAAGCAACCAAAACAUAAAAGGUACAUUAUAAAACACAAAAAGAGAACUGACAAAUGUUGCAAAUAAAUUCAUGUUUCAAUUAGAGUCUCAAAGUUAUACUUAACAUGAAAGUAGUUGCAUGCAAGUUGAUUCAUCCAACUGCUUGCAAAAAAGUAACAGUCAGUGAAGGUGUAAGGAAACUAACAUGUCAGAUACACAGAAAUAUACCAAAGCAAUCCAUAAUAUGGACAGAGAUUAACAUCAAUAGCAAUAUUUUCUAUACUAAUAACAACUAGAAUUUUCAAAAGUGAAAGCAGGCAAAUAAAUAAAAAUUUCACAUAAAACAACAUAUCAAAAGACAACCUUUUUUUCUCUGAAAGCUGGAUUUUCCAGGGAAUCAAACAAUUUUUGAGUAAUUUUAGUUUCAAGUUUUUUAAAAAGAUGUCUAUACAGAAAUUAUUUUUGAUUCAGGUGAAUAUCUGUUAAGGCCAAUUAAUGAUUCUUGAAAAAGCUAGCUUUAGUAGUUUAAAGCUGUGGCAUUUUUGGGAAUUCAAUUGUACAAAUCAAGGGUACAAACAACUCUUAAACUAACAAUUAGUUUGAAACUUUUAAUUAUAAACCUUUGACAUAAUUGAUACAUUCAGUUGUAUUUUAGUUCUUCCACAUUAAAGAUUUCCUCAAAUAAAUCAAUGCUGUGUGGAGAUUUACCUACAAAAUGGAAUUAUUUAACUCUAGUGUAUUACUGACACGGUUUUCUGGGUCCUGAAAUCACAACCCAUAGAAGCCUAAGCUUUUUACAUCUAUUCAGAAAUCAAUUUGGGGUAUCUUGUCAGAAAUCUUGUCAGUUUGUGCCUUUUGGUCUUUAACAUAUUGUAAAAUGGAAUCAGAAUCUCUAGAAGAACAAUCUGCAUUCUCUUUUGGACUCAACUGGUUAUUUUGCAGUUUAUUGGUAGGAGACUCAUUCUUCUCCUCUGAUUCAAUUGGUGCCUCUGCAUCUCCCUCCAGCUCAGGUUCUUCUUCCUCCUAAGAAUAAAAUACAAAACAGUAAAAUAGAAGUAAUGGAUUCUGAUGUUAGAAAGCGUAGCU
This is a non-coding RNA of Rhopilema esculentum, 2040 nucleotides long. Lineage: Eukaryota; Metazoa; Cnidaria; Scyphozoa; Rhizostomeae; Rhizostomatidae. The record is from RefSeq and is a predicted model, not a curated record.